UACGUAGGGGGCAAGCGUUAUCCGGAAUUACUGGGUGUAAAGGGAGCGUAGACGGUAAUGUAAGUCUGGAGUGAAAGGCGGGGGCCCAACCCCUGGACUGCUCUGGAAACUAUGUUACUAGAGUGCAGGAGAGGUAAGCGGAAUUCCUAGUGUAGCGGUGAAAUGCGUAGAUAUUAGGAGGAACACCAGUGGCGAAGGCGGCUUACUGGACUGUAACUGACGUUGAGGCUCGAAAGCGUGGGGAGCAAACAGG
Molecule: ribosomal RNA, 253 nt
Filed under: uncultured bacterium
Lineage: Bacteria
Description: partial 16S ribosomal RNA
Rfam family: Bacterial small subunit ribosomal RNA
Source: RNAcentral